This 815-nucleotide unclassified non-coding RNA is filed under the name uncultured Bordetella sp. RNAcentral describes it as "partial 16S-23S ribosomal RNA intergenic spacer". The stretch from base 1 to 523 matches the Rfam family "Bacterial small subunit ribosomal RNA", at positions 10 to 546 of the family's 1533-position model. The record is from RNAcentral. Lineage: Bacteria; Pseudomonadati; Pseudomonadota; Betaproteobacteria; Burkholderiales; Alcaligenaceae.
AGUUCGAUUCUGGCUCAGAUUGAACGCUGAGGAUGCUUUACAUGCAAGUCGAACAGCAGCACGGACUUCGGUCUGGUGGCGAGUGGCGAACGGUGAGUAAUGUAUCGGAACGUGCCUAGUAGCGGGGGAUAACUACGCGAAAGCGUAGCUAAUACCGCAUACGCCCUUCGGGGGAAAGCGAGACUUCUUCGGGCCUCCGCACUAUUUGAAGCGGCCGAUAUCAGGAUUAGCUAGUUGGUGGUAACGCUCACCAAGGCGAGCGAUCCGCGGCUGGUUUGAGAGGACGACCAGCCACACUGGGACUGGGGCGGCCAGACUCCUGCAGGAGGCAGCAGUGAGGAAUUUUGGACAAUGGAAACCUGAUCCAGCCAUCCCGCGUGGCUGAUGAAGGCCUUCCGGGUUGUAACGCUUUUGGCGGGAAAGAAACGGCACGGGAUAAUACCCCGUGCAACUGACGUACCUGCCAAGGGUGUACCUACCAGUCAUCACACGCGCCCGGGAUGAAGCUGGAUCGGGGUUUCCCCGUACCUCCGCCGGUCAGUGCAGAUACGGUGUGGCUGGUCGUCUCUCAAACCAGCUACAGAUCGUCGCCUUGGUGAGCCGUUGCCGCCAACUGUAAUCCGAUAUCGGCCUCUAAUAGUGCGGGCCCGAAGAUCCCCGCUUUCCGAGGGCGUAUGCGGCUGUGCGCUUUCGCGUAGUUUGUACAUUGCUCACCCGUUCGCCAGUCCAUGCGCCGUUCGACUGCAUGUAAAGCAUCCGCCGGCGAAAUCUGGUCAGAAUCGAACUCUCUGUUACCUGAUGGCGGGAGGCGCAAU